This 69-nucleotide transfer RNA is filed under the name Ictidomys tridecemlineatus (thirteen-lined ground squirrel). RNAcentral's name for it is "Spermophilus tridecemlineatus (thirteen-lined ground squirrel) tRNA". It matches the Rfam family "tRNA". Rfam says of the family: Transfer RNA (tRNA) molecules are approximately 80 nucleotides in length. Lineage: Eukaryota; Metazoa; Chordata; Mammalia; Rodentia; Sciuridae. The record is from Rfam by way of RNAcentral.
GGGGCUGUAGCUCAGUGGUAGAGCGCUUGCCUAUCACGCAUGAGGCACUGGGUUCGAUCCUUAGCACCA